RNAcentral lists this ribosomal RNA (510 nucleotides) under uncultured bacterium. Its description in RNAcentral is "partial 16S ribosomal RNA". It matches the Rfam family "Bacterial small subunit ribosomal RNA", at positions 28 to 507 of the family's 1533-position model. The record is from RNAcentral.
GACGAACGCUGGCGGCGUGCUUAACACAUGCAAGUCGAACGAAGAGCGAUGGACGCUUGCUUCUAUCAAUCUUAGUGGCGAACGGGUGAGUAACGCGUAAUCAACCUGCCCUUCAGAGGGGGACAACAGUUGGAAACGACUGCUAAUACCGCAUACGAUCUAAUCUCGGCAUCGAGGAUAGAUGAAAGGUGGCCUCUACAUGUAAGCUAUCACUGAAGGAGGGGAUUGCGUCUGAUUAGCUAGUUGGAGGGGUAACGGCCCACCAAGGCGAGGAUCAGUAGCCGGUCUGAGAGGAUGAACGGCCACAUUGGGACUGAGACACGGCCCAGACGCCUACGGGAGGCAGCAGUGGGGAAUCUUCCGCAAUGGACGAAAGUCUGACGGAGCAACGCCGCGUGAGUGAUGACGGCCGUCGGGUUGUAAAGCUCUGUUAAUCGGGACGAAAGGCCUUCUUGCGAAUAGUGAGAAGGAUUGACGGUACCGGAAUAGAAAGCCACGGCUAACUACGUG